This 164-nucleotide ribosomal RNA is filed under the name uncultured bacterium. RNAcentral describes it as "partial 16S ribosomal RNA". It matches the Rfam family "Bacterial small subunit ribosomal RNA", at positions 355 to 511 of the family's 1533-position model. The record is from RNAcentral.
UAGGGAAUCUUCCACAAUGGGCGCAAGCCUGAUGGAGCAACACCGCGUGAGUGAAGAAGGGUUUCGGCUCGUAAAGCUCUGUUGUUAAAGAAGAACACGUAUGAGAGUAACUGUUCAUACGUUGACGGUAUUUAACCAGAAAGUCACGGCUAACUACGUGCCAU